UACGUAGGGUGCGAGCGUUAAUCGGAAUUAUUGGGCGUAAAGGGUAGGUAGGUGGUCUCGUUUGUCCGGGGUGAAAGCCUUGAGCUUAACUCAAGAAGUGCCUCGGAAACGGCGAGACUGGAGUACUGGAGAGGGUCGUGGAAUUCCCGGUGUAGCGGUGAAAUGCGUAGAUAUCUGGAGGAACACCGGUGGCGAAGGCGGCGUCCUGGACCAAAACUGACACUGAGGAGCGAAAGCCAGGGGAGCAAACGGG
RNAcentral lists this ribosomal RNA (253 nucleotides) under uncultured bacterium. RNAcentral describes it as "partial 16S ribosomal RNA". It matches the Rfam family "Bacterial small subunit ribosomal RNA", at positions 524 to 776 of the family's 1533-position model. The record is from RNAcentral.